RNAcentral lists this ribosomal RNA (400 nucleotides) under uncultured fungus. RNAcentral describes it as "eukaryotic LSU rRNA". The stretch from base 1 to 110 matches the Rfam family "5.8S ribosomal RNA", at positions 46 to 154 of the family's 154-position model. Lineage: Eukaryota; Fungi. The record is from RNAcentral.
CAGCGAAAUGCGAUAAGUAAUGUGAAUUGCAGAAUUCAGUGAAUCAUCGAAUCUUUGAACGCACCUUGCGCCCUUUGGCUAUUCUGAAGGGCAUGCCUGUUUGAGUAUCAUGAACACCUCAACUCUCAUGGCCUGCCAUGAUGAGCUUGGACUUUGGAGGUCUUGCCGGUGUACCGUCGGCUCCUCUCAAACGAAUCAGCUUGCCAGCGUUUGGCGGCGUCACAGGUGUGAUAACUAUCUACGCUUGUGGACUUCCGCCAGGCAACCUCCAGCGAUGGGGGUUCGCUGGAGCUCACAAACGUCUCUCCUGAGCGAGGACAGCUUUUUGAACGUUUGAUCUCAAAUCAGGUAGGACUACCCGCUGAACUUAAGCAUAUCAAUAAGCGGAGGAAAAGAAACU